GGAUUAGAUACCCUGGUAGUCCACGCCGUAAACGAUGUCAACUAGCCGUUGGGCAAUAUAAAAUUGUUUAGUGGCGCAGCUAACGCGAUAAGUUGACCGCCUGGGGAGUACGGUCGCAAGAUUAAAACUCAAAGGAAUUGACGGGGGCCCGCACAAGCGGUGGAGCAUGUGGUUUAAUUCGAUGCAACGCGAAAAACCUUACCUACCCUUGACAUCAUCAGAACUUGUUAGAGAUAACUCGGUGCCUUCGGGAACUGAUAGACAGGUGCUGCAUGGCUGUCGUCAGCUCGUGCCG
RNAcentral lists this ribosomal RNA (295 nucleotides) under uncultured bacterium. RNAcentral describes it as "partial 16S ribosomal RNA". It matches the Rfam family "Bacterial small subunit ribosomal RNA", at positions 775 to 1067 of the family's 1533-position model. The record is from RNAcentral.